GACGAACGCUGGCGGCGUGCCUAAUACAUGCAAGUUGAGCGAUGAAGAUUGGUGCUUGCACCCAUUUGAAGAGCAGCGAACGGGUGAGUAACGCGUGGGGAAUCCGCCCUUGAGCGGGGGACAACAUUUGGAAACGAAUGCUAAUACCGCAUAAUAACUUUAAACAUAAGUUUUAAGUUUGAAAGAUGCAAUUGCAUCACUCAAAGAUGAUCCCGCGUUGUAUUAGCUAGUUGGUGAGGUAAAGGCUCACCAAGGCGAUGAUACAUAGCCGACCUGAGAGGGUGAUCGGCCACAUUGGGACUGAGACACGGCCCAAACUCCUACGGGAGGCAGCAGUAGGGAAUCUUCGGCAAUGGACGAAAGUCUGACCGAGCAACGCCGCGUGAGUGAAGAAGGUUUUCGGAUCGUAAAACUCUGUUGGUAGAGAAGAACGUUGGUGAGAGUGGAAAGCUCAUCAAGUGACGGUAACUACCCAGAAAGGGACGGCUAACUACGUG
This 497-nucleotide ribosomal RNA is filed under the name uncultured bacterium. RNAcentral's name for it is "partial 16S ribosomal RNA". It matches the Rfam family "Bacterial small subunit ribosomal RNA", at positions 28 to 507 of the family's 1533-position model. The record is from RNAcentral.